AAAACUGUCAAACUCAAAGAUGUACUUUACUUUCUUAGCUUCAGAUCGUGAGAUGAUGUACUUGAGGGUUUCCAAACAUCCUAGGGUUUUCGCCUGCAAAGCCGAGCUUACUCGAACAAAUUUAGCCAGACCAUCCACGAUCUUGCCCGAAGAAUCUCAACAGAUGCUAGCAAUCGCUCCCUCCGUUGACCCGUCCACGAAUGAGCCAUCGAAGUUCCAUUUGAGAUAUCCCCGUUCUGGAGGUUGCCAAAUUGCAGAGUGGAUUCCACAGUCAUCUUCGCCUCUGGUUUUUUUCUUGAAGACUGCUUGAUUUCUUGAUAUCCAAAUAUUCCAAAGAGUGAUGGCCAUAAGCUCAAAAGAUAGAGAAUUUGAGGGUCCGACCAAACAUUGCUCGUCCAGGGACAUAGGAUGAGAAGGUGUUCUAUGGUUUCUGGUGCACUACGACACAGUGGACAAAGUGGCUCCGGUAAGAUUCUUCGCUUUGAAUAGAUUCUCGCUGGUAGGGAGUGCAUUUUGACAUACACUCCACAUGAAAAUUCGGAUCUUGGGGUAGGUUUUCAAAGACCAUAUCAUCUUCCAGAGUGCUUUGGGAACUUGGUAAGACGACGAGGCUUGGUUUACAUCCAAUUUGGACUCUGUAGCUUUGAGACAGUUAUAGCCACUUUUCACCGAAUAAUUUCCAAUUCGAGUGCCUGUCCAAACCAGUUUGUCUGCUAUAUCACCCCCUCUCAAGGGGGUAGUAAGAAUCUUAGCCACUGUUUGAUCAUCAAAUAAUUGACGCAGAGUUUGAUCUUUCCAUUGCGAAUUCUCUGAAUUGAUUAACUCUGCAACUAUCUGUGGUUCAUUCCAAUUUGCUGGUCCCCUAAUUAUGCCUUUUUUCAUCCAUUUAUCCUCUAUAAUUCUGAUUUGUUUUCCGUUUCCCACUGACCACAUCACUUCAUUAGAUAUAGCCUCUCUCCCCAUUAUUAGGCUCUUCCAUCCCCAAGAUGGUCUUGAUCCCUUUCCUGCAUGCCAAAAAUCUGUAUGUGGGAAAUAAAUUCCUUUUAGUAUCUUGCACCAGAGGGCCGUUGAAGAUUGUGCAAUUCUCCAAGCUUGCUUGCCUAGCAUAGCUUUGUUGAAUGUGAGUAAAUACCUGAAUCCAAGCCCUCCAUUGUCCUUCCUUUGCUUCAAUAGAUCCCAUUUCCUCCAAUGCAAUCCCGAUUUGGACUCGUUAUUUUUCCACCAGGAAGCAACAAUUUUUCUCUCUAUAGCUCUGCAUAUGGAAACUGGAAUUUUAAAUAUAGACAUAGCAUAUUGUGGAAUAGCCUGCACCACUGCUUUGAUUAAGAUUUCCUUCCCCGCUUUUGACAUUAGGUUCUCUUUCCAUCCUUCCAUCUUCAUAUUUACUCUAGCCAAUCUCCGUGCAAACAUUUGCUUUUUAGUUUGACCCCAAUCCGAAGGGAUACCCGGAUAUUUCCCUAUUUUAUCUAUUUCAGGAACCCUUAAUUCCUGUGCCAUAUUAGUUCUCAAAUUGUGCGGGCAGCCAGCGCUAAAAUGAAUCCUUGAUUUAUUCAAAUUUAUGGCUUGACUCGUUGCAAAGCAAUACUGAUGAAGAACAGCAGCUAAAUUUUGGCAUUUUGUUAUCUUUCCAUCCACAAAGAAAAUAGAUUCAUCAGCAAACAGUAGAUGGGUUAAAGUUGGACAGUGCCUAUUCAGUUUAAUUCCUCUAAAGCUCUCAUCUUCAACUGUUGUCCUAAUUAGAAAGGAUAAAACAUUUGCCAUCAAAAUAAACAAAUAUGGGGAAAGAGGGUCACCUUGCCUUAAUCCUCUUGAUGGUCUAAAAUAGGGAAGGGGUUCCCCGUUAAAUUUUAUACUGAAAGAUACUGAUUUGACACAUUGCAUGACCCAGGAUACCCAUUUAUUACCGAAACCCAUCUUUAACAUGCAAGCUUUCAGGAAAUCCUAUUCCACCCUGUCAUACACCUUCUGCAUAUCCAGCUUCAGUAUGGCAUGAAACUUCUUCUUCCUCUUUCUAAUUCUUAGCUGAUGAAUAACUUUUUGAACAACCAGAAUAUUGUCUUGGAUCUGUCUACCACUCACAAAGGCACUUUGUUCUAUGGCAAUUAACUCUGGUAACGAAGGUUUUAGGCGAUUUGUCAUUACCUUAGAAAUCAUCUUAUACGCAAAAUUACACAAACUGAUAGGUCGAAAUUGGUCUAACCUCUCCGGAUUCCGGACUUUAGGAAUGAGAGAAAUAUGCGUCUUGUUGAGGGUUGGGUCAAGGAUGCUUGUUUCGAAGAAAUUCUUUACCAUGUUGAACACAUCCUGUUGGAGAUCUUCCCAAUGAUGCUGAUAAAACUGGCCAUUCAUUCCAUCUGGUCCAGGAGCUUUCAUAGCCCCCAAUUGGAAAACCACUUCUUUAGCUUCCUUCAUCGUCACAGCUUCUGUCAGUUUUUGGUUCAUUUCUUCCAUUACCAAGCUGGGGCAUUGGUCUAAGAUUGGCUGAAAAUUUCUAGACCCCACUGUGGUAUAUAGAGACUGAAAAAAUUCCACUGUUGAUUCUUUAAGUUGAGUGGGAUCUCGAGUCCAUACGUUAUCAGCAAUCUGCAACAUAGUAAUUUUAUUUCUUUGCCUCCUUUGAACUGUCGUUGCAUGAAAGUACUGGGUAUUUUUAUCUCCCCAUUUUAGCCAAUUGAUUCAAGAUCUCAUCCCCCAAUACAUCUCUUCUUGUGUCCAAAGCUCGUCAAUCUGCUUAUUCAGGUGUUGCAUUCUUGCUCUGUCUUGUGACACAUCCUGGCUAUUCAUGAUUUCCUGGAGUUCCUUUUUCAAGUUGUUGAUCUGUCGCUGAACAUUGGAGAACUUUUUUCUACUCCAUUCUGUCAGAGCAACUGUGACUUUGUGUAUUUUUUCCUGCAAAUCGGUAUUUUCCAAUUCAGGGAUCUUCCAUGCAUCUUUAACAAUUUUUCCACAUUCAGCAUCCUCAAGCCAGAAAGCUUCGAACUUAAAUUCUCUCUUCUUUUUCACUGGUUCAGCAAAGAGUGACAAUAAGAGUGGACUGUGAUCUGAGCCAAUAGCUGGCAAUACAUAAGCUUCAGCAUUAGGAAAUAGAACUCUCCAUUCAAAGAGAUUAGAUAGAGUGUUGUGUCCAGUAUAGUUGAUUGGUCACCUUUAGGCAUAAAAGUAAGCCCCCAAGAGAUUCCAGAGCCAGAGGAACUCCCUUGCAUUUGUUGACAAUAUUGAUUGCGAUUGCGAUUGCGAAAUGCGCAUUGUCUUACAUGCGAUCAGGUUCCCAUUUGAGGAAAAGCAAGAGUGUCCUGAGAAGAAAGGCUUUGAACUCGAAUGCUAAUACAGAUCCCAUUAGGGAAUUGACUUCGUGACUGCGGGUUGUGGCAACCAGGCAAUUUCCUGAACAAAUCUCUCAUAUCAUUCCACAUGCUAUGAGUCCAACC
Molecule: long non-coding RNA, 3428 nt
Organism: Syzygium oleosum
Lineage: Eukaryota; Viridiplantae; Streptophyta; Magnoliopsida; Myrtales; Myrtaceae
Exons: 3
Source: RefSeq, a predicted model, not a curated record